This 119-nucleotide ribosomal RNA is filed under the name Cyanoderma ruficeps (rufous-capped babbler). The record is from RNAcentral. Lineage: Eukaryota; Metazoa; Chordata; Aves; Passeriformes; Timaliidae.
GCCUAUGGCCAAACCACCCUGAGAAUGCCUGAUUUCAUCAGAUCUCAGAAGUUUAGCUGGGUUGAACUGGGUUAGUAUUCAGAUGGGGGACUGCCUAGAAAUACCUGGUGUUGUAGGUU